AGAAUUAUGGUUUGAACUACGUAACAAUUACCUAGACAUCUUUUGGACUUCAGUUAACCUAAAUUAACUCUGCAAAAAGCGCUGUGGAGAACCUGGGUUUUAAUCUAGGGUUUUGCAAGUUCAUGCACCUGGCAGUGGCCUAAGGCGCAGAAGGACCAAACUGAGCGUACCUCCUCAUUUCCUUGAGUCACCUGUUUCACUUCUAAACCAAUGACUCUCAAAUUUGAGGGAGGAUCAGACUCACCUGGAGGCUGGGCCCCACCCCUAGAGUUUCUGAUUCAGCGGGUCUGGGGUGGGACCUGAGAAUUUGCAUUUCCGACAAGUUCCCAGUGAUGCCGCCGCUGCUGCUGGUCCAGGCACCACAGUUCAAGACCCACAGACGGAACUGGCCUCCUGUCAGUUUCUGAAUCGCCCCCGUGGCCGUGGAUCCACCCACAGCCUUCAUCUCUGCCUUGGGCUCUUGCUUCCUUCACUGCCUGUCUCCACGUGGAUCCCAGGCCUCCCUGGGAGCUCCCAGCUGGGAGGUGUCAAGCACUGCAGUAGAUUCUGAAGAUACAAAAAUAAAUAAAACAUUCCUGCCCUCAAGACACUUACACUCUUAUGUGUAACACUGUGUGACCAUUCAUCUGGGCCUUCCUGAGACAGUCUUGGUUUACACCUGUUUUCCCAAUCAGAGCAUCACUGCCUUUCCCACUAUUCUCCUGCAGAAGAGCAGGGGAAGGAAGCACCAGGGUCCAUCAUGGAGUUGUGACAACUGAGAUUCAGAGAUGUCCAAUCUACUCACAUAAAUAGCCUGGUUGAAGAUGGCUGAGCGUAAAACAGAAUGCAAGUCAGCUGGAGCACGUACUACUGGAGGCAGAGCCCCAUGAGAAGGGGCCAAGAACCCGCACCCAUCAAAAUCAAGAAGAAAGGCUGAACCCGGAGAGAAAAGGGAGCAACUGAUGUUGCCAUGCAGAUCCCUUGGUUGCUAUGAGAUGGUAACAUCACUCUGCCCCACCAUUGGCCAGUGCCUCCUCAGCUGCGGUGCCUCCCAGGCUGUGUGGUUCUCACGCGGGCCACUGACACAGAGCUGUUACUAUGGUGAACUUUACAAUUUCCUUUGAUUGGUGGAUUUCAGAAAUAGGCCAUCAGCGGAAUUCAUUAUAUUCAGCUAAGUAAAAAUGAAAAAUAAAUACUAUAACUUUCCCCUCAUCACUAACAUGAAGGAAACGUGACCCUUCAUGACAUAAUAAAUCGCUGUUCGGUAACUUAGGAUCCUUCAGGGGACUGAAGCGGGAUGAUCCUCCUAUGCCAAAUUUGGGUGGGAAAGAUAUUCCCUGUAGCUUUGAGUCGACUCUUCAGAGUUAAGGGCAGUGGGCCAACCAGAGUUGGAACUUCAGAGUUGGGAGGAGGUGUGGGAUGGGGCAUGCAUUGAAAUGUAAACUCUAUUGUCUCUGAAGUGAUGGGUGAUGCUGGGGGCCUGAGUGUGGAGGGCAGUUUUACAUCUCAGGACAAUGUUUUCUCAGAUGCUCUUCCAGAAAGAAAAGCCAGGAGUACUCCUGGCUGGAGGCGGCAUGCCUGAGGUCAGAGUCAAAGUAGGGUUUGUGCUGUCUGAAUCCUUUCUCCCACUCUCCCCAGCCUGGCUCAGCUUCUCAGCUUCUCAGGUGGAUUGGUGAGUCCUGGCCAAUUACGCUUCAGCUCAUCUCUACUCUCAGCAAAUAGGAAAAGGGAGUGAAGGACUGAGUUUUAACUCUUCUAAUUUCGUAACCUGACUCUCUAUAAGAAAAAGUAGGAGAAAGACUGAAGAACCCGAGAGAACAGGCCUCUGAGCCCAAGCCAAGCCAUCGCAUCCCCUGUGACUUGCCCGUAUAUAUGCCCAGAUGGCCUGAAGUAACUGAAGAAUCACAAAAGAAGUGAAUAUGCCUUGCCCCACCUUGACUGAUGACAUUCCACCACAAAAGAAGUGUAAAUGGCCGGUCCUUGCCUUAACUGAUGACAUUACCUUGUGAAAGUCCUUUUCCUGGCUCAUCCUGGCUCAAAAAGCACCCCCACUGAGCAUCUUGCGACUCCCACUCCUGCCCACUGAGCACCUUGUGACCCCCACUCCUGCCUGCCAGAGAACAAACCCCCUUUGACUGUAAUUUUCCUUUACCUACCCAAAUCCUAUAAAACGGCUCCACCCUUAUCUCCUUUUGCUGACUCUCUUUUCUGACUCAGCCCGCCUGCACCCAGGAGAUUAAAAGCUUUAUUGCUCACA
This is a long non-coding RNA of Homo sapiens (human), 2236 nucleotides long. The record is from Ensembl. NCBI's taxonomy places the organism in Eukaryota, Metazoa, Chordata, Mammalia, Primates, Hominidae.